This 495-nucleotide ribosomal RNA is filed under the name uncultured Pseudomonadota bacterium. RNAcentral describes it as "bacterial SSU rRNA". It matches the Rfam family "Bacterial small subunit ribosomal RNA", at positions 355 to 840 of the family's 1533-position model. The record is from RNAcentral. Lineage: Bacteria; Pseudomonadati; Pseudomonadota.
UGGGGAAUCUUGCGCAAUGGACGAAAGUCUGACGCAGCGACGCCGCGUGAGUGAUGAAGGCCUUCGGGUUGUAAAGCUCUGUGGAGGGGGACGAAUAAGUGUCGUCGAAUAGGCGGCAUGAUGACGGUACCCCUUUAGCAAGCACCGGCUAACUCUGUGCCAGCAGCCGCGGUAAGACAGAGGGUGCAAACGUUGUUCGGAAUUACUGGGCGUAAAGCGCGUGUAGGCUGCUCGGAAAGUCGGAUGUGAAAGCCCUGGGCUCAACCCAGGAAGUGCAUUCGAAACUUCUGAGCUUGAGUUUCGGAGAGGAAGGCGGAAUUCUCGGUGUAGAGGUGAAAUUCGUAGAUAUCGAGAGGAACACCGGUAGGCGAAGGCGGCCUUCUGGACGGUGACUGACGCUGAGACGCGAAAGCGUGGGGAGCGAAACAGGAUUAGAUACCCUGGUAGUCCACGCCGUAAACGAUGGGUGCUAGGUGUCGCGGGCUUUGACCCCUG